This 1318-nucleotide long non-coding RNA is filed under the name Salmo salar (Atlantic salmon). Its description in RNAcentral is "lncRNA (ENSSSAG00000090578.1, ENSSSAG00020069087.1, ENSSSAG00075004637.1)". The record is from RNAcentral. Lineage: Eukaryota; Metazoa; Chordata; Actinopteri; Salmoniformes; Salmonidae.
CUGAAAUCCAGACCUCACAAAAGUUGUUAAUUUCUUUAGCUGCCAUUGUAACUACUUUGAGUUCUUCAUCUCAGUCUAACUUCAGGAUUUCCCCAUAUGCCUCCCUGGCAAGCCUCUUUUAAGGAAAUGGACGUGGAAAUGUUGCCCUUGCAUUAGAGGGAAGGAAGUCCAAGAACAAGGCGAAAAAAGGAAUGCUUGCCUUUUCAUGAAUCGUUAUCCCAUCCCUCCUGGGCACGGACAGGAACAACACAAGGAGCAUGCUGGGGGAUGCGUGCUCAUGCCGUAUAUUAUGUGCUCCAGAUUGUUAAGUGUCAACCUCCUGGUGGGGAGAGUUAGAGAGGCAACAACAAAGGCAUAUGCAGCACCAGCGUGAGAUAAACAACACAAGGGCCCUGUCAGCAAGAGCCAGGCAACUCUAACAUCUGGAUGGGAAGAUUCACUAUUCUUUAUUUAAUUAUAAAUAUAUAUAAUUCAUUUGUUGUUAAACAGGCCCCCUUUACAAUGCUUGCACGUUCCCCAUCGCUACAGCUGGAUGGUUACUGAACUAUUUCCAAUGGAGCGCUUGGAAGAAGGCCACCCACUGUAUCGGACAGACAUCUUGUCCUCAGUUGACCCAGUGGGCUUACUGCUCAUGUCUCGCCUGGCUCGCGGACAAAGAGAGGGUGGAGGCUUAUCGCGCAGAUCCGAUCAGCACAGCCAAGCCCCCGGCACAUCAACAGCACAAUCCCUCUCCAAAAAAAAAGUGGAGGCGACCAUAACAAAGUGAACAACAGGACGCUUCAGAAGCCCAGGCGGUUUGCUAAGGGAACGGCAGCACUUUAAUUGUUUUCAGAGGGAUUUAGCCGUUAGCCGCGGAUUUCUGCUAGUCCCAGUCCUUCCUUCAUUACACCACAUUCUCCCAUCCCUGGCACUUGUUGACGUGGGCACACUGCCUUCGUCCCACGUCCCCCACUUCCCUCUCCCAUUCUCCCAAUCCCCCUUACGCAGUGGGCUUCCUCUCCACUUGGCACAGAUGGGCGAAUCUAGCAGAUGUUUUAUCAGUUUUUUUCUCCCGCUCUCCUCUCGCAGAAUGGAUUUAGGUUGGAGAGUUAAUGAGUCAUCUCGCCCAAUGACAGAGGCCCUCUUCACCUACAGCAGACACAGAGGCCCUCUUCACCUACAGCACACACAGAGGCCCUCUUCACCUACAGCAGACACGGAGGCUAACCAGGUUAUACCUGAAUCGGAUGAUCAAUUUCUCGGCUAAGUUGAAAUCUACAGAUUGCGGGCAGAAGGGAGUGUGACAGCCUAAGGACCCUGCUGUCAGGGCAGAUUGAUG